GUGCCUCGUGGAUGGGACUUUGAUCCCAGAUUAGAUCAAGCAGACAGCGAGGCAUUGGCUGGUGUUCGGGUCAAAGGGCACAAUUCUAUCUCUUGCUAAAGGUGGCAAAGAAAGAACACAUCACUGUGGAGAAGACCUUUAAUCGUCUCUGAUAAUUCAAUAUUUGCUAAUCUUAAAAUACAAUCAUGGUUGUUCUGUUUUAGCUAGGAAGCUUAAUCCUAUUAUCUUCAAAAUGAUUGAAAUUAGAGAAUCAAUAAAAACAAGCAGCUACAUUACUUGCUGUGCUACACUGUCCCAUAACCAGUGAACCCCUACAGCAACACCUUAUACUAUCUGCAAAGCAUGGUGGAGAGAGUCUUCUGGUUUGAACUGAUAUGUUGUUUUAGUUUGUUGUCAUGUUAAACAGCUCUAAAGUAAGUAAUGUUUAAUAAAUGUUCAUAAAUGUUUUGUUGGGUUGUCUAAGUCUGUCUAAGUCAUUCUAUUAAAC
This is a long non-coding RNA of Trichomycterus rosablanca, 487 nucleotides long. RefSeq lists it as uncharacterized. NCBI's taxonomy places the organism in Eukaryota, Metazoa, Chordata, Actinopteri, Siluriformes, Trichomycteridae. The record is from RefSeq and is a predicted model, not a curated record. The transcript has 3 exons.